GAUGAAGAACGUAGCGAAAUGCGAUAAGUAAUGUGAAUUGCAGAAUUCAGUGAAUCAUCGAAUCUUUGAACGCACAUUGCGCCCGCCAGUAUUCUGGCGGGCAUGCCUGUCCGAGCGUCAUUUCAACCCUCGAACCCCUCCGGGGGGUCGGCGUUGGGGAUCGGCCCUUUCACCGGGUGCCGGCCCCUAAAUACAGUGGCGGUCUCGCCGCAGCCUCUCAUGCGCAGUAGUUUGCACACUCGCACCGGGAGCGCGGCGCGUCCUCGUCCGUAAAACACCCCAAACUUCUGAAAUGUUGACCUCGGAUCAGGUAGGAAUACCCGCUGAACUUAAGCAUAUCAAUAAGCAGGA
RNAcentral lists this unclassified non-coding RNA (351 nucleotides) under soil metagenome. RNAcentral's name for it is "partial contains 5.8S ribosomal RNA, internal transcribed spacer 2, and large subunit ribosomal RNA". The stretch from base 1 to 120 matches the Rfam family "5.8S ribosomal RNA", at positions 35 to 154 of the family's 154-position model. The record is from RNAcentral.